AACGAACGCUGGCGGCAGGCUUAACACAUGCAAGUCGAACGCAUGCCUUCGGGCAUGAGUGGCAGACGGGUGAGUAACGCGUGGGAACCUACCCCUUGGUACGGGAUAGCUCCGGGAAACUGGAGAUAAUACCGUAUGUGUCCUGAGGGACAAAGAUUCAUCGCUAAGGGAUGGGCCCGCGUCGGAUUAGCUAGUUGGUGGGGUAACGGCCUACCAAGGCGACGAUCCGUAGCUGGUCUAAGAGGAUGAUCAGCCACAUUGGGACUGAGACACGGCCCAAACUCCUACGGGAGGCAGCAGUGGGGAAUAUUGGACAAUGGGCGCAAGCCUGAUCCAGCCAUGCCGCGUGAGUGAUGAAGGCCCUAGGGUUGUAAAGCUCUUUCACCGGUGACGAUAAUGACGGUAACCGGAGAAGAAGCCCCGGCUAACUUCGUG
This 435-nucleotide ribosomal RNA is filed under the name uncultured bacterium. Its description in RNAcentral is "partial 16S ribosomal RNA". It matches the Rfam family "Bacterial small subunit ribosomal RNA", at positions 29 to 507 of the family's 1533-position model. The record is from RNAcentral.